This 512-nucleotide ribosomal RNA is filed under the name uncultured Stenotrophomonas sp. RNAcentral describes it as "bacterial SSU rRNA". It matches the Rfam family "Bacterial small subunit ribosomal RNA", at positions 8 to 507 of the family's 1533-position model. Lineage: Bacteria; Pseudomonadati; Pseudomonadota; Gammaproteobacteria; Lysobacterales; Lysobacteraceae. The record is from RNAcentral.
AGAGUUUGAUCCUGGCUCAGAGUGAACGCUGGCGGUAGGCCUAACACAUGCAAGUCGAACGGCAGCACAGUAAGAGCUUGCUCUUAUGGGUGGCGAGUGGCGGACGGGUGAGGAAUACAUCGGAAUCUACCUUUUCGUGGGGGAUAACGUAGGGAAACUUACGCUAAUACCGCAUACGACCUUCGGGUGAAAGCAGGGGACCUUCGGGCCUUGCGCGGAUAGAUGAGCCGAUGUCGGAUUAGCUAGUUGGCGGGGUAAAGGCCCACCAAGGCGACGAUCCGUAGCUGGUCUGAGAGGAUGAUCAGCCACACUGGAACUGAGACACGGUCCAGACUCCUACGGGAGGCAGCAGUGGGGAAUAUUGGACAAUGGGCGCAAGCCUGAUCCAGCCAUACCGCGUGGGUGAAGAAGGCCUUCGGGUUGUAAAGCCCUUUUGUUGGGAAAGAAAAGCAAUCGAUUAAUACCCGGUUGUUCUGACGGUACCCAAAGAAUAAGCACCGGCUAACUUCGUG